Molecule: long non-coding RNA, 219 nt
Filed under: Arabidopsis lyrata
Lineage: Eukaryota; Viridiplantae; Streptophyta; Magnoliopsida; Brassicales; Brassicaceae
Description: long non-coding RNA (ALYR_LNC001073)
Source: RNAcentral
AACCAAGUGGUCGUGGUCUAGUGGCUUUCACUUGAAGAGGAGUCGCCAUGUUGGUCCAGGCCAGGGAUCGAUUUCCCUCAAGCGCGAAAGUGCUAGUAAUUUCCAUUUGGCCAGGGGCUUUCAUCUGGUCUUCCCCGGACCCUGGGGGGAUUAAGGGCUUCCGCCCCGAACCUCCUGGUUAUCAAAAAAAAAAAAAAAAAAAAAAAAAAAAAAAACAUG